This 468-nucleotide ribosomal RNA is filed under the name uncultured bacterium. RNAcentral describes it as "partial 16S ribosomal RNA". It matches the Rfam family "Bacterial small subunit ribosomal RNA", at positions 28 to 507 of the family's 1533-position model. The record is from RNAcentral.
GACGAACGCUGGCGGCGUGCUUAACACAUGCAAGUCGAACGGAAAGGCCCUGCUUUUGUGGGGUGCUCGAGUGGCGAACGGGUGAGUAACACGUGAGUAACCUGCCCUUGACUUUGGGAUAACUUCAGGAAACUGGGGCUAAUACCGGAUAGGAGCUCCUGCUGCAUGGUGGGGGUUGGAAAGUUUCGGCGGUUGGGGAUGGACUCGCGGCUUAUCAGCUUGUUGGUGGGGUAGUGGCUUACCAAGGCUUUGACGGGUAGCCGGCCUGAGAGGGUGACCGGCCACAUUGGGACUGAGAUACGGCCCAGACUCCUACGGGAGGCAGCAGUGGGGAAUAUUGCACGAUGGGCGGAAGCCUGAUGCAGCAACGCCGCGUGCGGGAUGACGGCCUUCGGGUGGUAAACCGCUUUCGCCUGUGACGAAGCGUGAGUGACGGUAAUGGGUAAAGAAGCACCGGCUAACUACGUG